GUCCACGCCGUAAACGAUGGAUACUAGCUGUUGGGGGCAACUUCAGUGGCUAAGCGAAAGUGAUAAGUAUCCCACCUGGGGAGUAUGUUCGCAAGAAUGAAACUCAAAGGAAUUGACGGGGGCCCGCACAAGCGGUGGAGCAUGUGGUUUAAUUCGAUGAUACGCGAGGAACCUUACCAAGGCUUAAAUGUAGAUUGACCGGUUUUGGAAACAGAUCUUUCGCAAGACAAUUUACAAGGUGCUGCAUGGUUGUCGU
RNAcentral lists this ribosomal RNA (256 nucleotides) under uncultured bacterium. Its description in RNAcentral is "partial 16S ribosomal RNA". It matches the Rfam family "Bacterial small subunit ribosomal RNA", at positions 793 to 1055 of the family's 1533-position model. The record is from RNAcentral.